GGAAGUACUCACUGUGAGGUGCAAGAGUGUGGGAAGUACUCACUGUGUAGGGGUGAGGGAAGUACUCACUGUGAGGUGUAGGAGUGAGGGAAGUACUCACUG
Homarus americanus (American lobster) is the source of this 102-nucleotide long non-coding RNA. RefSeq lists it as uncharacterized. Lineage: Eukaryota; Metazoa; Arthropoda; Malacostraca; Decapoda; Nephropidae. The transcript is spliced from 3 exons. The record is from RefSeq and is a predicted model, not a curated record.